RNAcentral lists this ribosomal RNA (780 nucleotides) under uncultured bacterium. RNAcentral's name for it is "bacterial SSU rRNA". It matches the Rfam family "Bacterial small subunit ribosomal RNA", at positions 755 to 1528 of the family's 1533-position model. The record is from RNAcentral.
GAAAGCCUUUGGGUUACCAAACCAGGAAUUAAGAUACCCCUGGUUAGUCCACCCCGUAACGAGGUCUACUAGUCCGUUGGGUCCCCUGGAGGAACUUAGUGACCCAGCUAACCAAUAAGUAGACCGCCUGGGAGUACGCCCGCAAGGUUAAAACUCAAAUGAAUUGACGGGGCCCGCACAACGGUGGAGCAUGUGGUUUAAUUCGAUGCAACGCGAAGAACCUUACCUGGUCUUGACAUAUCUAGAAUCCUGCAGAGAUGCGGGAGUGCCUUCGGGAAUUAGAAUACAGGUGCUGCAUGGCUGUCGUCAGCUCGUGUCGUGAGAUGUUGGGUUAAGUCCCGCAACGAGCGCAACCCUUUUCCUUAGUUACCAGCGGGUUAAGCCGGGAACUCUAAGGAUACUGCCAGUGACAAACUGGAGGAAGGCGGGGACGACGUCAAGUCAUCAUGGCCCUUACGACCAGGGCUACACACGUGCUACAAUGGUAGGUACAGAGGGCAGCUACACAGCGAUGUGAUGCGAAUCUCAAAAAGCCUAUCGUAGUCCAGAUUGGAGUCUGCAACUCGACUCCAUGAAGUAGGAAUCGCUAGUAAUCGCGGAUCAGAAUGCCGCGGUGAAUACGUUCCCGGGCCUUGUACACACCGCCCGUCACACCAUGGGAGUUGAUUGCACCAGAAGUGGAUAGCCUAACCGUAAGGUAGGCGUUCACCACGGUGUGGUUGAUGACUGGGGUGAAGUCGUAACAAGGUAGCCGUAGGGGAACCUGCGGCUGGAUCACCU